RNAcentral lists this ribosomal RNA (510 nucleotides) under uncultured bacterium. Its description in RNAcentral is "partial 16S ribosomal RNA". It matches the Rfam family "Bacterial small subunit ribosomal RNA", at positions 28 to 507 of the family's 1533-position model. The record is from RNAcentral.
GACGAACGCUGGCGGCGUGCUUAACACAUGCAAGUCGAACGAAGAGCGAUGGAAGCUUGCUUCUAUCAAUCUUAGUGGCGAACGGGUGAGUAACGCGUAAUCAACCUGCCCUUCAGAGGGGGACAACAGUUGGAAACGACUGCUAAUACCGCAUACGAUCUAACCUCGGCAUCGAGGAUAGAUGAAAGGUGGCCUCUACAUGUAAGCUAUCACUGAAGGAGGGGAUUGCGUCUGAUUAGCUAGUUGGAGGGGUAACGGCCCACCAAGGCGAUGAUCAGUAGCCGGUCUGAGAGGAUGAACGGCCACAUUGGGACUGAGACACGGCCCAGACUCCUACGGGAGGCAGCAGUGGGGAAUCUUCCGCAAUGGACGAAAGUCUGACGGAGCAACGCCGCGUGAGCGAUGACGGCCUUCGGGUUGUAAAGCUCUGUUAAUCGGGACGAAAGGCCUUCUUGCGAAUAGGGAGAAGGAUUGACGGUACCGGAAGAGAAAGCCACGGCUAACUACGUG